Molecule: RNA transcript, 2160 nt
Organism: Poecile atricapillus (Black-capped chickadee)
Lineage: Eukaryota; Metazoa; Chordata; Aves; Passeriformes; Paridae
Gene name: meiosis-expressed gene 1 protein-like
Exons: 5
Source: RefSeq, a predicted model, not a curated record
GCGGGUUGUGGCCAUGGCGAUGGGAGCAGCCUGAAGUUGUGGUCGCGACGCAGUUGCGGAUGCAGGCCGGGACGUCUGCCUGAGCACCUCGGAAUGUACAAGGAACUGUCGGGUGGAGGAUGCCUGUGGACAGGCACUGUGAAUUAAUGGUGACUCACGAAGAGCCAGACCUACCCACAUGUCUUGAAGAAAAACAUUCAUUAGGUGAAUCCAGCACAUCCUGUAAAGAAGAACUUAAAACUAAUGACAUUCUAAUUUCAGGAAUAUGUCUGAAGUUUCUGAAGUCAUGACAAAAGCUGACAUCAAACCAAAAUCUAUGCAUCGUGCCAAAAUAUGGUCAGAUAAUGUAGAGAACUUAUACAGAUUUCAGCAAGCUGGAUACAGAGAUGAGGUGGAAUAUAAACAAGUGAAACAAGUUGAUGAGGCACUCCACACUCAUGGAUCUCUUGAAAAGCCUGUCCAGUGUCCUCUGUCCUGGCUCCCUCAACCAGCCCUGGCUCAUACCUUGAGGCUUCCAGGGGCUGGCACCCAACCAAGACACUCUCUACAGAAACUUCCUGUCCUCUCAGCAGAACAUGUGCCCCCAGCAAAGGCAAGGAAUGUACAAUCCCAGCAUGGCAGGAUUAACUGAAAAUCAUGCCCCUUGCUCUGAGGGGAGGACCAUGCUGGCUGUCCUCGAGCUGGGUGUCCCUUGAUGAUCUGCCAGGGUCGGGUGACCCUUUCUGUAGACGGAGUCAAACCCAACUCUUUUGGAAUGAUCAAGAGGGAUCUCAGUGUUGUAAAUAUCUUGUCCAUUUCCUCAUGUUGGGAGCUGAUAAAGAUAAGAUUAAAGUCUGUUCUAACAAACCAGGUUUGUUAGUCAGGUUUCCUUUGGACCUGAAGACAGAUGAAAACAGCUCCUGGAUGCCUUAGGAGUUUUGUGUUGUGGAAGCAUUGUUAGGAAACUGAGAAAGCUGCUAUCCUUUCAAAGUAAAGUGUGCCAAGUAGAACAGCCCCAGGGCCAUCCUGCUGGGAGCUGAGGGCUGAUUUAAUAGUGCAAAAACCAAUUACCAGGCUGUAAUCAGUAAUGGCUGUGUUGGGAAGCUAAAAUCACUACAGGGAAAGAGACGGGAGAGCAGGGUCUGCUCUUGCUGGAGCUGAGACCCAGAUAAAUGGCAGCAGAAAGCCCCUGCUACCAAAGAGUUAUGGCAUAAAUUGAUGCAUUAGAAGCCCCAGUGCAUUAGAUCACUUGGAAGGACACACAGAGCAUCCGGAAGCCAGGUCAGUGAAGGGCUGAAGGCAGCACUGCCUGCCCAGAUGAGUUACUGACCUCCACCCUGGGACUCCAACAGCCAGCUAGUGAGUUACAGAGGCAGCAGCAGCAGUGACCGUGAUAUAUAAUUAUCCUUGGAAUAUAUUGAAAUUUUCAUAUAUGUGCUGAGUUAAACCUUCACCCAGAGUGCAGAGAAAAACACAUGAUGACUUUUAAUAGAAAUAAAAUAUUAGACAGGAGAAAACAUAUAGUCUUUUAUAAUCAAUGGUGCUGAUGUUCUGAAGAGACUCCAAAGCUCUCUGCAAUUUAUGGGCCAAAUCUGUUUCUAGAAAGUAAUGCCAGGAAUAUUUUUGAGGAAGGAGAGCUAAAGCUCGGCAUGUAAACCUUGGAACUGCUGUAACAGACACAGCCAGCUGUGAUAAAUGUAAAACACACUAAAUAACACCAAGGGAGUUGUAUCCAAGCUGAGCAGUAAAAAUCUUUCCAAUGUUAAACCAUGCAAGAUUUCCUUGGAUAUUACUUCCUCCAUUAAAAAGCAGGUUGUUUUUUAUUUCAGACCUGAGAAGCAUAGGUACUUUCCACUGAAGAUUGAUAUACUUACUCUGAAUUGUAGAAAGAAGUGAAUCUGUUUGGUCUGUUACAUUAGUAGCUCAAUCAGACGCUCAUCAAAUUACAGCUGCUGUCUAUGAAGUGAUCACAUCACCCAGGAAGAACUUUGAUGCACAACUGAGUGGUCCAGGUGGGAGAAAUGUAGAUUAGUUAAGUGGAGAAGAUGUGUAGCACUCAAAAAACCAAGAUAUUCUAAUAAAAUAUGGGCUGAGAAAUAAGUAACUCCCUUGUUCCAAUAUUCACUGACUAUUGAUUCAUUGACUAUUAUGUGCAAGUAGUAAUUUGUGGUUUUCAGCAAU